Molecule: ribosomal RNA, 505 nt
Filed under: uncultured bacterium
Lineage: Bacteria
Description: partial 16S ribosomal RNA
Rfam family: Bacterial small subunit ribosomal RNA
Source: RNAcentral
GACGAACGCUGGCGGCGUGCCUAAUACAUGCAAGUAGAACGCACAGUUUAUACCGUAGCUUGCUACACCAUAGACUGUGAGUUGCGAACGGGUGAGUAACGCGUAGGUAACCUGCCUGGUAGCGGGUGAUAACUAUUGGAAACGAUAGCUAAUACCGCAUAAUAUUAAUUAUUGCAUGAUAAUUAAUUGAAAGGUGCAAUUGCACCACUACCAGCUGGACCUGCGUUGUAUUAGCUAGUAGGUGAGGUAACGGCUCACCUAGGCGACGAUACAUAGCCGACCUGAGAGGGUGAUCGGCCACACUGGGACUGAGACACGGCCCAGACUCCUACGGGAGGCAGCAGUAGGGAAUCUUCGGCAAUGGACGAAAGUCUGACCGAGCAACGCCGCGUGAGUGAAGAAGGUUGUCGGAUCGUAAAGCUCUGUUGUAAGAGAAGAACGGGUGUGAGAGUGGAAAGUUCACACUGUGACGGUAUCUGACCAGAAAGGGACGGCUAACUACGUG